Molecule: non-coding RNA, 94 nt
Organism: Thalictrum thalictroides
Lineage: Eukaryota; Viridiplantae; Streptophyta; Magnoliopsida; Ranunculales; Ranunculaceae
Source: the annotation of a GenBank genome assembly
UUUGUUCGCUCUCCCUCAAGUUCUUCUAGUUAAUUACAUAGAGAAUUAUCUAGCUAUAUGACCAUUAUAGAAGCCCUUGAGGGAGAGUGAGCAA